AACGCUUGGAGGCGCACUAUUGUGAAUCGUCCGUAUUGGCUAAAACCUUUAAAUUGCUACUCCUUUGAGUCCUUUCAUUUCCAACAUUCAUUGGCUUUUGUAUGUCAGUGUUUUGUGUGAUUUCUUUUUUGGUUUCACUGACAUUUUUUACACUUUUCAAACAGAUAAGCCUAACGAUAACUGUAACUGACAGCGAACUACAAAGUUGCUUGACAACUUAGGACUUGUAGCUCCAAGUUUCAUUUCAAACUUUUAAAGUGAAAUCGGGAGCAUUCAAUCCAAUGCAGUGGGACAGGCAAACAACGUUCUGCGUCCCAUUACGCAGCAUCGGCAAAGAAGAGUUUGUGAAAUCCAGACUCCAGAAUCCGGGAAACAAGUGUAUGAAGUGGGACUUGUUGCCAGACUGGUGCUCUAUUGGAGAAAAGUCCAGUGAUCACCGUUCUGAAGAACAACCACGUCAUGAAGAGACCGUUAUUAGAAAUACAGUGUUUGCAAACGCAAGUCUAAACCAUGUGCUCCGCUCUCCACUAGUGUGGUCCGACACCUGACACCAUAAAACCUGUGGAGGUCCCAUGAUUUUCACCAGUUGCCAGCAAGUUCCGGAGGCAGAAAGUGUGUUUCAGACAUCUACAGUAGCUGCUGACAACAUCCUUGGAGGAUGGGUUCUUUUGGAGAUCCUUCAUGCAACCCUACUGGGAGCUACAAACAGUAACCACUUGGCCACACGGCCCCCAUGGCGACCACUGACAACAUAGGAAAUGUGAGGGUGUAACAACUGCGAGUAAGUUGAGGAAUGUGGCAGUUUGCAGGAGGAAAAACCCCAAACAUUCCACGGAAAACCCAGGCAGUCAGGCAGUGACUAAAAACCCAAUCCCCGUGUCGGCCAAGGCAGGAUUCAAAUUUCAGUAGGAGAGGUGUAA
This is a long non-coding RNA of Acanthaster planci (crown-of-thorns starfish), 920 nucleotides long. RefSeq lists it as uncharacterized. The record is from RefSeq and is a predicted model, not a curated record. NCBI's taxonomy places the organism in Eukaryota, Metazoa, Echinodermata, Asteroidea, Valvatida, Acanthasteridae.